AGAACGAACGCUGGCGGCAGGCUUAACACAUGCAAGUCGAACGGGUGUAGCAAUACAUCAGUGGCAGACGGGUGAGUAACACGUGGGAACCUUCCUAGGGGUACGGAACAACUCAGGGAAACUUGAGCUAAUACCGUAUACGUCCGUAAGGAGAAAGAUUCAUCGCCCCUAGACGGGCCCGCGUCGGAUUAGGUAGUUGGUGGGGUAACGGCCUACCAAGCCUACGAUCCGUAGCUGAUCUGAGAGGAUGAUCAGCCACACUGGGACUGAGACACGGCCCAGACUCCUACGGGAGGCAGCAGUGGGGAAUCUUGGACAAUGGGCGCAAGCCUGAUCCAGCCAUGCCGCGUGAGUGAAGAAGGCCUUAGGGUUGUAAAGCUCUUUUACCAGGGACGAUAAUGAACGGUACCUGGAGAAAUAACGGCCCCGGACAAACCGUUCGUGCCAGCAGCCGC
RNAcentral lists this ribosomal RNA (455 nucleotides) under uncultured soil bacterium. Its description in RNAcentral is "bacterial SSU rRNA". It matches the Rfam family "Bacterial small subunit ribosomal RNA", at positions 26 to 518 of the family's 1533-position model. The record is from RNAcentral.